UCAAGGAAACUGAGCGCAUGAUCGCCAUAUGCACAGAACAUAGGAAGAUAAUUUGUUACAUGUUUCAAGCCUAGUGUUGAAGAAAUUCUCCUUAAGAGUUCCUUCCAUUGUCGUUUAUCCCCCCCUCCCCCCCCCGCUCUUGCCAUUUUGCACCAUUGUCGUUUAUCCCCCCCUCCCCCCCGCUCUUGCCAUUUUGCACCAAAAUUGCAGUUGGGAGCAACGCACUCCAAGCAUUGAAACCACUUCAAUUUCUACUAUAUAGAAGCAUGAGCCCAGGAACAACCAAGGGCAAAAGAGUAAUUUCACAGAAAACAAAUACACCCAGAAGCAUCUAUUCCCAAUUCAUGUUACUACUGUUACGCGUAUUCCAUAACUAUUCAUUCACAAAUCAUCUGAUGUCUCAGUGUUUGCUUUAAUCACGUCUCUUACUUAUUCCAAUUUAUGGUUUUCUUCUCAAUAUUUUUUUCAAAUCCUCUUUUUGCUCAUUUUUUCAGUUUCAAUUCAGAAAAAAAUUUGAUGAAAGAGCAGUUUUCGAUUCUUCUAAUACAAUAUAAUUUUUCUGUUGCAAAUGAGAGCGAACAAUCAAAAAGUAUAAAAGUUGGGCUUUUAGAGUUCAAGCAGAGGAUAAUGGCAAGGACAACAAAGAAGAUAUUUUUGUGAUAUGUGAAUGCCUCAUAUGGAGAGGUUUAAUGAUUUUUGACGAAGCAACAAAUGUUGUCAGGUUGUUAGAGGAUGUACAUUUCCUCUUCCUAAUUCCAUUCCACUGCUCAGUUUAGAAUGAUCUGGAUGAGUUGGUGU
Long non-coding RNA from Capsicum annuum, 798 nucleotides. RefSeq lists it as uncharacterized. The record is from RefSeq and is a predicted model, not a curated record. The transcript has 2 exons. Lineage: Eukaryota; Viridiplantae; Streptophyta; Magnoliopsida; Solanales; Solanaceae.